RNAcentral lists this ribosomal RNA (301 nucleotides) under uncultured bacterium. RNAcentral describes it as "partial 16S ribosomal RNA". It matches the Rfam family "Bacterial small subunit ribosomal RNA", at positions 509 to 807 of the family's 1533-position model. The record is from RNAcentral.
CAGUAGCCGCGGGAAUACGGAGGGCGCGAGCGUUACCCGGAUUUACUGGGCGUAAAGGGCGUGUAGGCGGCCUGGGGCGUCCCAUGUGAAAGGCCACGGCUCAACCGUGGAGGAGCGUGGGAUACGCUCAGGCUAGAGGGUGGGAGAGGGUGGUGGAAUUCCCGGAGUAGCGGUGAAAUGCGCAGAUACCGGGAGGAACGCCGAUGGCGAAGGCAGCCACCUGGUCCACUUCUGACGCUGAGGCGCGAAAGCGUGGGGAGCAAACCGGAUUAGAGACCCGUGUAGUCCCUGUCUCUUAUAC